RNAcentral lists this ribosomal RNA (346 nucleotides) under uncultured fungus. RNAcentral describes it as "SSU rRNA". It matches the Rfam family "Eukaryotic small subunit ribosomal RNA", at positions 20 to 371 of the family's 1831-position model. Lineage: Eukaryota; Fungi. The record is from RNAcentral.
GUAGUCAUAUGCUUGUCUCAAAGAUUAAGCCAUGCAUGUCUAAGUAUAAGCAAUUAUACCGCGAAACUGCGAACGGCCCAUUAAAUCAGUUAUCGUUUAUUUGAUAGUACCUUACUACUUGGAUAACCGUGGUAAUUCUAGAGCUAAUACAUGCUAAAAAUCCCGACUUCCGAAGGGAUGUAUUUAUUAGAUUAAAAGCCAAUGCCCUCUGGGCUCUUUGGUGAUUCAUGAUAACUUCUCGAAUCGCACGGCCUUGCGCCGGCGAUGGUUCAUUCAAAUUUCUGCCCUAUCAACUUUCGACGGCUGGGUCUUGGCCAGCCAUGGUGACAACGGGUAACGGGGAAUA